This 439-nucleotide ribosomal RNA is filed under the name uncultured bacterium. RNAcentral's name for it is "partial 16S ribosomal RNA". It matches the Rfam family "Bacterial small subunit ribosomal RNA", at positions 338 to 795 of the family's 1533-position model. The record is from RNAcentral.
CCUACGGGUGGCAGCAGUAGGGAAUAUUGCUCAAUGGGGGAAACCCUGAAGCAGCAACGCCGCGUGGAGGAUGAAGGUUUUCGGAUUGUAAACCCCUUUUGUCGAGAAGAAAAAGACGGUAUCUAACGAAUAAGCACCGGCUAACUCCGGGCCAGCAGGCGCGGUAAUACGGAGGGUGCAAGCGUUACUCGGAAUCACGGGGCUUAAAGAGCGCGUAGGCGGGAUAGCAAGUCAGAUGUGAAAUCCUAGGGCUUAACCUGAGAACUGCAUUUGAAACUGUUAUUCUAGAGUAUGGGAGAGGUAGGUGGAAUUCGUGGUGUAGGGGUGAAAUCCGUAGAGAUCAAGAGGAAUACUCAUUGCGAAGGCGACCUGCUAGAACAUAACUGACGCUGAUGCGCGAAAGCGUGGGGAGCAAACAGGAUUAGAUACCCCUGUAGUC